Molecule: ribosomal RNA, 695 nt
Filed under: uncultured bacterium
Lineage: Bacteria
Description: bacterial SSU rRNA
Rfam family: Bacterial small subunit ribosomal RNA
Source: RNAcentral
UAACGCGUGAGUAACCUGCCCUAGAGUGGGGGACAACNNUUGGAAACGACUGCUAAUACCGCAUAAGCCCACGGUACCGCAUGGUACUGAGGGAAAAGGAUUUAUUCGCUUUAGGAUGGACUCGCGUCCAAUUAGCUAGUUGGUGAGGUAACGGCCCACCAAGGCGACGAUUGGUAGCCGGACUGAGAGGUUGAACGGCCACAUUGGGACUGAGACACGGCCCAGACUCCUACGGGAGGCAGCAGUGGGGGAUAUUGCACAAUGGGGGAAACCCUGAUGCAGCGACGCCGCGUGGAGGAAGAAGGUUUUCGGAUUGUAAACUCCUGUCGUUAGGGACGAUAAUGACGGUACCUAACAAGAAAGCACCGGCUAACUACGUGCCAGCAGCCGCGGUAAAACGUAGGGUGCAAGCGUUGUCCGGAAUUACUGGGUGUAAAGGGAGCGCAGGCGGGAAGACAAGUUGGAAGUGAAAACCAUGGGCUCAACCCAUGAAUUGCUUUCAAAACUGUUUUUCUUGAGUAGUGCAGAGGUAGAUGGAAUUCCCGGUGUAGCGGUGGAAUGCGUAGAUAUCGGGAGGAACACCAGUGGCGAAGGCGGUCUACUGGGCACCAACUGACGCUGAGGCUCGAAAGCAUGGGUAGCAAACAGGAUUAGAUACCCUGGUAGUCCAUGCCGUAAACGAUGAUUACUAGGUG